This 240-nucleotide long non-coding RNA is filed under the name Lathyrus oleraceus (garden pea). Its description in RNAcentral is "Pisum sativum (pea) long non-coding RNA (PSAT_LNC001567)". The record is from RNAcentral. Lineage: Eukaryota; Viridiplantae; Streptophyta; Magnoliopsida; Fabales; Fabaceae.
AGCAACCUAUCUUGGACACAAAGCAACUCACUUGAUCUUAGAUCAAGUUGAGUUUGAUUUGGAUCAAAGAAGAUUAAACCUCUCAUAUGUCAAGACCAACCACAAGACAUUAACUCAUUGGCCAAAAUGAAAAGAGAAGUGAGAUGAAGAUGAAAUGAAUAAAAGGAGAAUUCAAAUGUCAAAUACAAUUGGUCAAAAGUGAAUCAAAUCAUCAUCAACCAAUGUAAAACAGAAGAGAAA